GGGGGACAAUUUUGAGCUGCCCAAAGAGCCCCCCCCAUAUUUAUGAUCCUAAAAGUGUUCCCCCCACAUUUUGGGGGUUCUGGGGGGUUCCCCAACAUUUAGGAUUCCCAAAUGGGUGUCAUGGCCGCCCUGGAGGUGUCAUGGCUGCCAUUGGCGGUAUCAUGGGCACCCUGGAGGUAACAUGGCCACCCCUUGAGGUAUCAUGGCCGCCAUUGGCGGUAUCUUGGCUGCCCUGGGAAGUGUCAUGGCCACCAUUGGCAGUGUCAUGGCCACCCUGGAGGUAUCAUGGCCACCCCUGGAGGUGCAAUGGCCGCUAUUGGAGGUAUCAUGGCUGCCAUUGGCGGUAUCAUGGCCUCCCUGGAGGUGUCAUGGCCGCCAAGUAGGUGUCAUGGCCACCAUUGGCGGUAUCAUGGCCGCCCUGGAGGUAUCAUGGCCCCAACAUUUGGGAUUCCCAAAGACCCCCCCCCCCCUUUUGCUCUGCCAUUCCCACCCCCC
Anas platyrhynchos (mallard) is the source of this 495-nucleotide non-coding RNA. The record is from RefSeq and is a predicted model, not a curated record. Lineage: Eukaryota; Metazoa; Chordata; Aves; Anseriformes; Anatidae.